UCUGAAUGUGGCCAUUCAGCUCUUCCCAGAAAGAAACUCCCGCAUAAUAUGCUGAACCACUUGAAACCCUUCACAUCAGAAAGGAAAAGGGAAAGGGAAACUGCAGAGGAAGUGGAUUGCAUGGAAGGUAGAUUUUAACUUCUUUCUCCCAUCAACUUCAAGCUGUAGAUUUUAUGGUUUACCCGACUCUCCAGGCAUGAUGUAAUGAUCAAGCUUCAGAAACUCAGGUCAUUCAGCAGAAAAAUGGUCACCAACAGGUAAAACUCGAUCAAUGUCUAUCUAACAAAAAGUUCAGAAGGGAAAUGAAACUAUAUUGGUAACACUUUUUUCUAGUCAACAUUUUAACAGACUACAAUUAAAUGAUUAGUAAACAAUUGUUCUUUUUAACCAAACAAAUCAUACAGAAAUGUGGCAGCCAACACUAAGAAUCUGCCAUGAUAAAGCAAUCAAGCUAAACUGUAGAAUAGUGCCCAGAUGCAUAACUGCACUUGGCUGGCAGAUAUUGCAUUGCAGGACUGAGAUAUCUCAAAAUUGAUAUAUUGACUACAUCAAGAGCAAGCUUGUAAUUUGCUCAAAAGUUGGCACGAGAAUAAGAGCUUCGAUUGCCUUCAGAAGGUCCUCUAAAUCUCCAUACCAAAGAUGAAAAAAAACUCUGCAAGGACAGGAGAACAGCUCACAUAAUUAUAACAUUAAUAAGUGCCACAAUCAAGUUUUAUAGAUAUAGAAAUUGAAUAUAAAACAUGUAAAAUCACAACAAUUGAUCUGGUAGUUGCAUUGGUUUUGUUCCUCCCGACCACUAAAAUAUCCAUAUUACCCUAUGAUAUUGCUCCCAUGUAACAGUAGUUUUGUUAAAGGCUAAGAUUACAUGCAUAGCACAAUAUUUGAAUUUCAAUUUCAA
This is a long non-coding RNA of Mangifera indica (mango), 898 nucleotides long. RefSeq lists it as uncharacterized. The transcript has 2 exons. The record is from RefSeq and is a predicted model, not a curated record. Lineage: Eukaryota; Viridiplantae; Streptophyta; Magnoliopsida; Sapindales; Anacardiaceae.